Molecule: non-coding RNA, 68 nt
Filed under: uncultured eukaryote
Lineage: Eukaryota
Source: RNAcentral
AUUUCUUUUUUCUUGUUUUUUCUUUUUUUUUUUUUCUUUCUUCUAUCCUCCUCUUUCCUGCAAACAUG